RNAcentral lists this ribosomal RNA (751 nucleotides) under Staphylococcus aureus. RNAcentral describes it as "partial 23S ribosomal RNA". It matches the Rfam family "Bacterial large subunit ribosomal RNA", at positions 328 to 1081 of the family's 2925-position model. Lineage: Bacteria; Bacillati; Bacillota; Bacilli; Caryophanales; Staphylococcaceae. The record is from RNAcentral.
AUUAGACGAAUCAUCUGGAAAGAUGAAUCAAAGAAGGUAAUAAUCCUGUAGUCGAAAAUGUUGUCUCUCUUGAGUGGAUCCUGAGUACGACGGAGCACGUGAAAUUCCGUCGGAAUCUGGGAGGACCAUCUCCUAAGGCUAAAUACUCUCUAGUGACCGAUAGUGAACCAGUACCGUGAGGGAAAGGUGAAAAGCACCCCGGAAGGGGAGUGAAAUAGAACCUGAAACCGUGUGCUUACAAGUAGUCAGAGCCCGUUAAUGGGUGAUGGCGUGCCUUUUGUAGAAUGAACCGGCGAGUUACGAUUUGAUGCAAGGUUAAGCAGUAAAUGUGGAGCCGUAGCGAAAGCGAGUCUGAAUAGGGCGUUUAGUAUUUGGUCGUAGACCCGAAACCAGGUGAUCUACCCUUGGUCAGGUUGAAGUUCAGGUAACACUGAAUGGAGGACCGAACCGACUUACGUUGAAAAGUGAGCGGAUGAACUGAGGGUAGCGGAGAAAUUCCAAUCGAACCUGGAGAUAGCUGGUUCUCUCCGAAAUAGCUUUAGGGCUAGCCUCAAGUGAUGAUUAUUGGAGGUAGAGCACUGUUUGGACGAGGGGCCCCUCUCGGGUUACCGAAUUCAGACAAACUCCGAAUGCCAAUUAAUUUAACUUGGGAGUCAGAACAUGGGUGAUAAGGUCCGUGUUCGAAAGGGAAACAGCCCAGACCACCAGCUAAGGUCCCAAAAUAUAUGUUAAGUGGAAAAGGAUGUGGCGU